This 674-nucleotide ribosomal RNA is filed under the name uncultured Nocardioides sp. RNAcentral describes it as "bacterial SSU rRNA". It matches the Rfam family "Bacterial small subunit ribosomal RNA", at positions 802 to 1464 of the family's 1533-position model. The record is from RNAcentral. Lineage: Bacteria; Bacillati; Actinomycetota; Actinomycetes; Propionibacteriales; Nocardioidaceae.
GUANACGUUNGGCGCUAGGUGUGGGAUCCAUUCCACUGGGUUCCGUGCCGCAGCUAACGCAUUAAGCGCCCCGCCUGGGGAGUACGGCCGCAAGGCUAAAACUCAAAGGNAUUGACGGGGGCCCGCACAAGCGGCGGAGCAUGCGGAUUAAUUCGAUGCAACGCGAAGAACCUUACCUGGGUUUGACAUACGCCGGAAACAUCCAGAGAUGGGUGCCCUUUUUGUCGGUGUACAGGUGGUGCAUGGCUGUCGUCAGCUCGUGUCGUGAGAUGUUGGGUUAAGUCCCGCAACGAGCGCAACCCUCGUUCUAUGUUGCCAGCACGCCCUUCGGGGUGGUGGGGACUCAUAGGAGACUGCCGGGGUCAACUCGGAGGAAGGUGGGGAUGACGUCAAGUCAUCAUGCCCCUUAUGUCCAGGGCUUCACGCAUGCUACAAUGGCCGGUACAAAGGGCUGCGAUGCUGUAAGGCGGAGCGAAUCCCAAAAAGCCGGUCUCAGUUCGGAUUGGGGUCUGCAACUCGACCCCAUGAAGUCGGAGUCGCUAGUAAUCGCAGAUCAGCAACGCUGCGGUGAAUACGUUCCCGGGCCUUGUACACACCGCCCGUCGCGUCACGAAAGUCGGCAACACCNGAAGCCGGUGGGCCCAACCNUUGUGGGGGGGAGCCGUUCGAAGGUG